CACAUAACUUAGCUUAGGCUUGCUGGUAGGCCAGCCAAACAAAAUCAGGCAAGAGGAGAGAAUUCUGUAGCUUGUAUAUGCUUUUCGAAGUCAGUCAAAGAUUCCAUUAGAACAACAGUAGCAAGAAAUAAGUUGCAAACUGCAGCCUCCUAAUGAAGAAUGAUACAGUUAUUAAAGCUACUUUUGAACCACCAUUAUAGCACACAAGUGGCUUAAUUCCUAAUGUGACACCACCUGCUUAUUCUUCUCAAAAAAGAAAAAUCCUAAUUUCUAGUAAAG
RNAcentral lists this unclassified non-coding RNA (279 nucleotides) under Hevea brasiliensis (rubber tree). Lineage: Eukaryota; Viridiplantae; Streptophyta; Magnoliopsida; Malpighiales; Euphorbiaceae. The record is from RNAcentral.